GUUGAAUGAAGAGUAAAGCUACUAUACACAAAUUGUGUUAGAAUUGUGAGUGAGAGAUUCUCCUCCUAAAUUGGUCUUAUCUUGUGAGUGUUGUGAGCUCUCAAGUGGCGGCAUCUACACUUAUCUUGGAUUCAAUUCACCAUCCAAGUGGCGAGAUCAUUCACAACUCCACCGUCUUCUAAGUUUCCUUUCACUCAUCUCUUUUCCAUUCCCUUUCCAUUCUUAUUUUCAAUUCCAAAAUAUGUCUUGCUCUUAUUUUUGCUUCCUUUAAUUCAAUUCGGUUCAUAUCUUGCACAUCUUGUGUUUGAUUAAAUUCCACACCUAUAUUUGUCAUUCAUCUUCACCAUUAAUUGUGUUUUUCCUUUGGUCUUAUGGAAAUGAACCUUCACAUCUACUUAACACUUGUUAAGUUAAUGUCCACUAGGAAUUUUCCUUAGGCUUGCACCUAUAAUUGUUCUAAAAUCUAAAUCUAAGUGACAAAUGAACAAUCCUAAAAUCAACUCACAUCAUGUGGUAUCAAGAUCUAUGGUUGUGUUUAUCUUUUUGAGUUGAUUUGGCACUUUACAUUCAAGCAAUUUACAUUCUAGCACCUUUAAUUCUUGUCUUUAAAUUCAAGUACCUCUACUUUCUUGUUUUUAAAUGCAAGUACCUUUACUUUCUUGUCAUUUUUUUCUUGCUUUUAAUUUUUCAGCAACUUUUUUUGUUGCAGAAUUUUUUUUUCAGCCUUUCUAUAUUCAUAGCACUUUUCGCUUUUGAAUAUUUACAUUGUUGUCCAAAUUUUUUUCUUACCUCUUGUGAUUGUGUCAUAUGUUCUUAGUGUUCUAAGUGUCCUUACUUUGAUUCUACUUACUUGCUUUUAAUUGUGAAAUUUCCUCAUUCAUUAGAAACUUGUUUUAGUAGAAAUUGAUGUUAAGUUCCAAACAUAUGAUGUCAAGUGUUCAAUUAUCUUGAAUCCACCAAAUUUUUUUGUGAAAAUUGAAUGUUCUUUACAAUUUGCAUGAUGGAAUUAGGAUAAAAAAAAAGAGAAAAACGGCAAGCUCUUUUAACAAUACAAAAACAGUACCGUUUUUCUUCCAAGAACAAAAAAAAUAAAAAUACAACAAGGUAUUUGAAAAGAGCAAAAAUAGUACCGUUUUUACUGCACCAAAAACAGUGACUUUUUUUUUUAAAACAGCAAAAAACAGCAAGCUAUUUGUACACAGAAAAACAGUAUUGCAAUUACAAAACAGCAAGCACAUGUGAUGUUUUUUUAAAACAGCAAAGAAUUUUUUCCCAAAGGCAUCUUGUUUUUCACUUGGUUUCGAAAUUCAUUUUCACAACUUAUGGAUUCAACUUGAUUGGGAAAUUGCUUUCAACUUUGGGAAAUUUUGUAUCCUUUUCCUUUAACAUUUUUCUAAUCACCAAAGUUUCAUAGUUAAAAGUUUAGUGAGUUUCUUAGAGUCUUCUUUUGUGCUUUUCUUAUUUGUCAUCUUUUCAAAGUUUUGUCACAUUCUUUUCCUUCAACUUUGGUUUUUCUUGUUUUAAGCUUUUCUUGUUUGUCUUUUCUUCUUUCCUCAAGUUUUGUGGUGAAUUAUCUUUGACCAAGUGUGGAGGCUUUGUCAUAUUUCACUUGAGAGUUGUUCAUACCACAAGAAAGAUCUUGGUUAAGGAAAGAAUUUUUUUUUUCUUGGAGUGUUUGAGUGUUUUUCUUUGUUUUACCGCAAGCAUUACUUGUUUUUCUAACUUCUUUUCUUAACUUGUUUGUUACUUCUUUUUCUUGUUUGCUUAAUGUGAUGGCUAACAUUUCAAGUGGUGCAUCUUCCAAAUCUAAAUCAUAUCACAACAACCACCUUUUGGGAGAACUUGUGGAGGUCCAAAAACAACUUGUCCACACAGAAGAAAAACUUAGCCAUUUUGCCAAAAGAUUGCAAAGACUAGAAGAAGCUAAUGCAAGGCAAAAUCAAGAAGAUAAGGAUGAAUGGAAUUUGCACAAUUUUGCCAAAAGGCACCAUCAACACCAACCACACCAGCAACAUUCUUUUAAUUUUGUAAAGUUACCUAGUUUUAGUAGGUCCAAUGACCCUUCUUUGUAUUUAAAUUGGGAAGCUAAGGUUGAACACCUUUUUUAUGUGUAUAAGGUCACCGAAGACCAAAAGGUUAGGUUAGCUUCCUUAGUUUUCUUAGACUAUGCCAACCAAUGGUGGCACAAACUUGUAAUGGACAUUGGGCUAAACAAGAGGCCAAUUGUGGUCUCUUGGUAUGAUUUAAAGGCAUGUAUGCGCAUGAGGUUUGUUCCUCCUCCUUAUAGGAAGGAACACUUGUUGAAGUUCCAAAGACUUCAUCAAGGACAUAAGAUGGUAGAUGCAUAUUUUAAAGACUUCGAAACAUAUUUGACUAAAGUGAAUAUGCAUGAUAAUGAAGAGUCAAAGAUAAAAGGUUUGUAAGUGGUUUGUGAAAAGAAAUUAAAGAUCUUGUAGAAUUACAUGAGUACUUUUCUUUAAAGAAAGUAGUUCACCUAGCCAUCAAGGUAGAAUCACACCUUUUGAAAAAAAACAACUUUAAAAAAUACUCAUGAUGAUGGUUUCUACAAAUCUUAUUGGAAGGAUACAAACAGAAAUUUUACAAAAAAUAUUCCUUCCACUUUUUCAAAAGACACCACUUUUAAUUCUUCUAGGAAGGAUGCAAACAAAAUUUCUACACAAAAUUCUCCUUCCAAUUUUUCAAACAAACCACUUCUUCCCAAAAAGCUUCUACACAAAAUCCUUCUACCCCUAAAUCACCCACCAAAACUUCAAAACCAAAAUAUUUUAAAUGUUUAAGUUUUGGGCACAUAGCUGCCACAUGUCCAAAUAAACAAACCAUAAUGUUAAACAUGAUUAAACAAGCCCAACUUAACCUAAAAAACAAAGAAGAAAAUGAAAGAGAAAAAGAAUGACAAGAUACAAUGAGUCUCAUUCCUUCACCUCCAAGGUGUUUUCCUUCCUUAUCUUUUUCAUUACCUAAAAAUUCUAAAUACUUGACAUUUUUUAAGAAGUUUAGGGAUGCUAUUCCAAACCCUCCUAAAGGGUCUCACCUUUUAAGAGGUUUUUCACAAAAUAUUUCAUCCCAAAAUCUUCUUUCCAAACAUGUCUUGUUUCCAGAAUUCACAUAUAUCAUCUCCCUAAAUUUACUAAAAAUAAGUUUGCUUCACCCCUCCAUUCUCCAACUAACAUGAACAAACUUACUAUGUUAUUUGCAAGCCUACUAAAUUCGUGGACAAAUUCUUUCGCGCCUGGGGAGCAUGAUACAAACCCAAAGAUGACAAAAGACACUACAAGCAAAAUCCAAAAAGGGCAGUCAUCUCAAAAUACAAAGCUGAGACUCACCAAACAUCAAGACAAUAUCAGUAGAAGAAGAAGCCAUGAGCCAAAGCAUCUCAAAUUCUUCCUACUAGUCUUCUUAAGUGUUCAGAAAAUGUUGUAAAUAAGAUUGGGCUCACAUGAGGGGUCCAAAUAGUAAAAAUAAGCUAGAAUAAAGUACCUUUAGCAUAGUAGGGGGUGUGGGUAGCAUUCUAGCCUAUUCCUAGCCCAUUUGAAGGCAUUUUGACCUAGUUUCUAGAAGGAUAAGCCUAGAAUACGAGAUUGACUUAGUCAAACCUUAUGGCUGCCCACUUUUUCCCUUUUCCCAUUCUACCCUCUUUUCUUCUUUUCCAAGGCUCCUAAAUCUAUAAAUAUGGAGGCCUACCUCAUGUAUUCAUAAGUUGAAUGAAGAGUAAAGUUACUAUACACAAAUUGUGUUAGAAUUGUGAGUGAGAGAUUCUCCUCCUAAAUUGGUCUUAUCUUAGUGUUGUGAGCUCUCAAGUGGCGGCAUCUACACUUAUCUUGGAUUCAAUUCACCAUCCAAGUGGUGGGAUCAUUCACAACUCCACCAUCUUCUAAGUUUCCUUUCACUCAUCUUUUUUCCAUUCCAUUUCCAUUCUUAUUUUCAAUUCCAAAAUAUGUCUUGUUCUUGUUUUUGCUUCCUUUAAUUCAAUUUGGUUCAUGUCUUGCACAUCUUGUGUUUGAUUAAAUUUCACACUUAUAUUUGUCAUUCAUCUUCACCAUUAAUUGUGUUUUUCCUUUGGCCUUAUGGAAAUGAACCUUCACAUCUACUUAACACUUGUUAAGUUAAUGUCUAGUGGGAAUUUUCCUUAGGCUUUCACCUAUAAUUGUUCUAAAAUCUAAAUCUAAG
RNAcentral lists this long non-coding RNA (4188 nucleotides) under Phaseolus vulgaris (common bean). Its description in RNAcentral is "long non-coding RNA (PVUL_LNC002986)". The record is from RNAcentral. Lineage: Eukaryota; Viridiplantae; Streptophyta; Magnoliopsida; Fabales; Fabaceae.